CCUGUCCCUAGAGAUGUUGCAGUUGCGGCUGCCAUCACAUGUGCAUCUGUAGAUGGCAGAGAGGAGAGAGGCUGUGUCUAUGCUCAGUUUUGACCUGUGAACGUCUGAAUGAUUAGCAGCCUAUCACU
Apodemus sylvaticus (European woodmouse) is the source of this 128-nucleotide small nucleolar RNA. RefSeq annotates it as small nucleolar RNA SNORA17. NCBI's taxonomy places the organism in Eukaryota, Metazoa, Chordata, Mammalia, Rodentia, Muridae. The transcript has a single exon. The record is from RefSeq and is a predicted model, not a curated record.